This 497-nucleotide ribosomal RNA is filed under the name Staphylococcus aureus. RNAcentral's name for it is "partial 23S ribosomal RNA". It matches the Rfam family "Bacterial large subunit ribosomal RNA", at positions 1 to 491 of the family's 2925-position model. The record is from RNAcentral. Lineage: Bacteria; Bacillati; Bacillota; Bacilli; Caryophanales; Staphylococcaceae.
GAUUAAGUUAUUAAGGGCGCACGGUGGAUGCCUUGGCACUAGAAGCCGAUGAAGGACGUUACUAACGACGAUAUGCUUUGGGGAGCUGUAAGUAAGCUUUGAUCCAGAGAUUUCCGAAUGGGGAAACCCAGCAUGAGUUAUGUCAUGUUAUCGAUAUGUGAAUACAUAGCAUAUCAGAAGGCACACCCGGAGAACUGAAACAUCUUAGUACCCGGAGGAAGAGAAAGAAAAUUCGAUUCCCUUAGUAGCGGCGAGCGAAACGGGAAGAGCCCAAACCAACAAGCUUGCUUGUUGGGGUUGUAGGACACUCUAUACGGAGUUACAAAGGACGACAUUAGACGAAUCAUCUGGAAAGAUGAAUCAAAGAAGGUAAUAAUCCUGUAGUCGAAAAUGUUGUCUCUCUUGAGUGGAUCCUGAGUACGACGGAGCACGUGAAAUUCCGUCGGAAUCUGGGAGGACCAUCUCCUAAGGCUAAAUACUCUCUAGUGACCGAUAGU